UUUAACGGCCGCGGUAUUUUGACCGUGCAAAGGUAGCGCAAUCAAUUGUUUUUUAAAUGAAGACCAGUAUGAAUGGCGCAACGAGGGCUUAACUGUCUCCCUUUUCUGGUCCAUGAAAUUGAUCUCCCCGUGCAGAAGCGGGGAUAAUAACAUAAGACGAGAAGACCCUUUGGAGCUUAAAACGCAAGGGUAGCUUGAAUUAAUUAGACCGACUUUAAUAAGGCUAACCCGAUUCCACCUCUACCCUAGUGUUUUUGGUUGGGGCGACCACGGGAUAAAAGGAACCUCCCGCGCAGAAUGGAUAUACACAUAUAUCUCUAUCUAAGGGCGACAGCCCUAAGACCCAGAACUUUUGACUAUCAGAUCCGGCUCAGCCGACCAACGAACCAAGUUACCCCAGGGAUAACAGCGCAAUCCUCUUUCAGUGCCCAUAUCGACAAGGGGGUUUACGACCUCGAUGUUGGACCAGGACAUCCUAAUGGUGCAGCAGCUAUUAAGGGUUCGUUUGUUCAACGAUUAAAGUCCU
Molecule: ribosomal RNA, 526 nt
Filed under: Callopanchax monroviae
Lineage: Eukaryota; Metazoa; Chordata; Actinopteri; Cyprinodontiformes; Nothobranchiidae
Description: partial 16S ribosomal RNA
Rfam family: Bacterial large subunit ribosomal RNA
Source: RNAcentral